Amblyraja radiata (thorny skate) is the source of this 186-nucleotide long non-coding RNA. RefSeq lists it as uncharacterized. The transcript is spliced from 3 exons. The record is from RefSeq and is a predicted model, not a curated record. NCBI's taxonomy places the organism in Eukaryota, Metazoa, Chordata, Chondrichthyes, Rajiformes, Rajidae.
CUUAAACCGAAGAUAGACACAAAAAGCUGGAGUAACUCAGCGGGUGCUGCAGCAUCUCUGGAGAGAAGGAAUGGGUGACGUUUCGGGUCGAGACCCUUCUUCAAUCUGGUUAGGGAUCAGGGAAACGAGAAAUUUAGAUGAUGAUGUAGAGAGAUAAAGAACAAUGAAUGAAAGAUAUGCAAAAAA